GACGAACGCUGGCGGCGUGCUUAACACAUGCAAGUCGAACGGUAAGGCCCUUCGGGGUACACGAGUGGCGAACGGGUGAGUAACACGUUGGUAAUCUGCCCUGCACUUCGGGAUAAGCCUGGGAAACUGGGUCUAAUACCGGAUAUUCAGUUCCUGCCGCAUGGUGGGGGUUGGAAAGUUUUUCGGUGCAGGAUGAGCCCGCGGCCUAUCAGCUUGUUGGUGGGGUAAUGGCCUACCAAGGCGACGACGGGUAGCCGGCCUGAGAGGGUGAUCGGCCACACUGGGACUGAGACACGGCCCAGACUCCUACGGGAGGCAGCAGUGGGGAAUAUUGCACAAUGGGCGAAAGCCUGAUGCAGCGACGCCGCGUGGGGGAUGACGGUCUUCGGAUUGUAAACCCCUUUCAGUAGGGACGAAGCGCAAGUGACGGUACCUGCAGAAGAAGCACCGGCCAACUACGUG
Molecule: ribosomal RNA, 462 nt
Filed under: uncultured bacterium
Lineage: Bacteria
Description: partial 16S ribosomal RNA
Rfam family: Bacterial small subunit ribosomal RNA
Source: RNAcentral